This 118-nucleotide ribosomal RNA is filed under the name Pteropus alecto (black flying fox). The record is from RNAcentral. Lineage: Eukaryota; Metazoa; Chordata; Mammalia; Chiroptera; Pteropodidae.
GUCUACUGCCAUGCCACCCUGAACAAGCCCGAUCCCAUCGAUCUCGGAAGCUAAGUAAGGUCGGGCCUGGUUAGUACUUGGAUGGGAGACCACCUAGGAAGACCAGGUGCUGUAGGCA